AAGUGUUGCAGUUGUUUUAGAUUUUGUCCAGAAGGUUUUCUGGUUUCUGCUAGAGAACAUCA
Small nuclear RNA from Dipodomys ordii (Ord's kangaroo rat), 62 nucleotides. Its record names the gene U7. It matches the Rfam family "U7 small nuclear RNA". Rfam says of the family: Animal histone pre-mRNAs are spliced by a different mechanism than nuclear pre-mRNAs and self-splicing introns. The record is from Ensembl. Lineage: Eukaryota; Metazoa; Chordata; Mammalia; Rodentia; Heteromyidae.